Molecule: non-coding RNA, 715 nt
Organism: Cinara cedri
Lineage: Eukaryota; Metazoa; Arthropoda; Insecta; Hemiptera; Aphididae
Source: the annotation of a GenBank genome assembly
GUUUUGAAAUUAGAAACUAAAUCUUAAAUGAAAGGUUUAAUUAAGGUUAAAUUAAGCACAUAUACAGACAUACAAUAAUAAUAUACCACUUAAUUUCUACUUAACAAACAUUUUUUCACACUAUUGGACGUAGGUGAUAUACGUCGCACAUUAGACGUGCCGAUAUGUUUGCCGACUUAUGUUUUACAUGGGAGCAACUGCUACCUCUCACACUUAUGAUGUCACUGCUUAAUCAAAUCGUCCAAUGCAUGGGCGGCGAUCUAGUUAAAGGGGGGGGGGGGCUAAAUCAUAACUUUCUGAAAAUUGUAUAACAAAAUUUACAGCACAAAUUUGAACCAUCUAUUUUUAGUUUGGACAAAAAACUCAUAAUAUGAUCAUACCCCUAAUUACACGCUUGUACAACGUACGUGUCUAUAAUAGUUGAUAGUAUAAUAUAUAUUUUUUUUUUCGGAAUUUUGUUUUAACAAUACACAAUUUUUUAGAAAUUUGCACUUGAGAGAAAGCCGGGGCAUUUAAGCUCCCUUAGAGACACCCCUGAUUGCAUGUUACAUGUAUCACACAUAGAGUUAAGAGUUAAGUUCAAUAGGUGCCUAUACUCUGCUUUCUUUCUUCUAUUUUUUUUUUUAUAAGCUUAUACCAAUAUUACGAAUCAGCAUAUUUUAUUUAGUUCGUGCAGUGCAUAGGGUUUAGUUAAUCCCGCUCACUUUAUUUUUUG